RNAcentral lists this ribosomal RNA (221 nucleotides) under uncultured Chlamydiales CRG79. RNAcentral describes it as "partial 16S ribosomal RNA". It matches the Rfam family "Bacterial small subunit ribosomal RNA", at positions 66 to 273 of the family's 1533-position model. The record is from RNAcentral. Lineage: Bacteria; Pseudomonadati; Chlamydiota; Chlamydiia; Chlamydiales.
ACGAAGUUGUGGGCAACUACAACUUAAGUGGCGGAAGGGUUAGUAAUACAUGAAUAACUUGCCUUGUGCCUGGGGAUAACGAUCGGAAACGGUCGCUAAUACCGAAUGAAGUCGUGGAUGGAAUCAUCUACGAUAAAAGUGGGGGACCUAGUAAUAGGCCUUGCGGCACAUGAGAGGUUCAUGCGAUAUCAGCUUGUUGGUGAGGUAAGAGCUCACCAAGG